Molecule: long non-coding RNA, 1074 nt
Filed under: Castor canadensis (American beaver)
Lineage: Eukaryota; Metazoa; Chordata; Mammalia; Rodentia; Castoridae
Description: lncRNA (ENSCCNG00000023034.1)
Source: RNAcentral
CCCUGGCCGGAAUCCCUGCCUCCGAAAGCCGAGAGCUCAGAAGCGGAGAGAAGUUGGGGAGGUCGGGUAGGGCAGCGUUGGAAGGAAUUGCGGACAGACCCCCCGCCCUGGUCUCCGGACCCGGGAGGAGCGCCUCUGUUACGACUGGGCCGAGUGUGGACGCGCUGUGCGCGGCCUCGCUAGGGCUGGGAGUUUGCAGACCAUCCCUACCGCGGCCGGCUCGGCGGCGGCCCUGCGGCUCCCGCGGCGGCCCCGGGCGCGAUCCAGCCCAGGUAGCCGCGCCGCAGGCUCGGUGCGCCGCUACCCCGCGCCCGGCUGCGCCUCGGGCCCCGCGGGCACGGCGGCCGGCGGGCCAUCCCGGCUGCUGCUGCUGCCCAACCAGGAGGAGGAAUUCCUAUUCUAAAGUGGACAUUGGAGAAGGAUCAAUUAGGCUAUGCAACAACAUUUUAUCUACAUAGAAUUAGCCAAGUGAUCAGAGCAGAAGGCAAUUUAUUACUUUAUUCAACCAUUACCAAAUAUAAGUUUAUUGAGUUCGAUCACAGCCACUUACUCUUACAAAGGAGUGGCCACUUCAGAGCAACCCAACCCAGGCCUGACACACAGAAGAUCAUGAUGUGAAUGUAAGUAAAGCCACUGAGCUGGAAAGUAUGAUUUGCAAAGAUUGUACAACCUCUGAACUUGGUCUGUAUUGAGGAACCAUAGCUCAAGGAGUACAUUUUCUUGUCUCCAUAUUUUAUGAAGAAUGCAAUUUGCUAAACACUUCCUUAUUUUAACUGUCUGGAUAAUCUGCAGUGCUCAAAACCACUGUCUAGGCUAUCCUUGAGAGUUAGCUUGGUAAACUUGGAGCAGAACAUUUGGAUUUCACAGGCUGAUAGGAUAUGGGUGUCAAGGUUAUGGGGCCAACACAAUGAAACAUUAAGCAUUUCUAAUUCUUACUGCUUUUAUGUAUGUGGGUCUUUGAACACACUUUGUUUCUAACCACAUCACAGGAGAAAAAAAAAAUGUCAGUAGCCCACAGCAGAUGAAUGUCUUGAUGUGAAUAAAAGCAUUAAUGCUAAAAUAGUGAGAAAAAAU